RNAcentral lists this ribosomal RNA (877 nucleotides) under Flavocillium subprimulinum. RNAcentral describes it as "SSU rRNA". It matches the Rfam family "Eukaryotic small subunit ribosomal RNA", at positions 164 to 1062 of the family's 1831-position model. Lineage: Eukaryota; Fungi; Ascomycota; Sordariomycetes; Hypocreales; Cordycipitaceae. The record is from RNAcentral.
GCUAAUMCAUGCUAAAAAUCCCGACUUCGGAAGGGAUGUAUUUUUAGAUUAAAAACCAAUGCCCUCUGGGCUCCUUGGUGAUUCAUAAUAACUUUUCGAAUCGCAUGGCCUUGCGCCGGCGAUGGUUCAUUCAAAUUUCUUCCCUAUCAACUUUCGAUGUUUGGGUAUUGGCCAAACAUGGUCGCAACGGGUAACGGAGGGUUAGGGCUCGACCCCGGAGAAGGAGCCUGAGAAACGGCUACUACAUCCAAGGAAGGCAGCAGGCGCGCAAAUUACCCAAUCCCGAUUCGGGGAGGUAGUGACAAUAAAUACUGAUACAGGGCUCUUUUGGGUCUUGUAAUUGGAAUGAGUACAAUUUAAAUCUCUUAACGAGGAACAAUUGGAGGGCAAGUCUGGUGCCAGCAGCCGCGGUAAUUCCAGCUCCAAUAGCGUAUAUUAAAGUUGUUGUGGUUAAAAAGCUCGUAGUUGAACCUUGGGCCUGGCUGGCCGGUCCGCCUCACCGCGUGUACUGGUCCGGCCGGGCCUUUCCCUCUGUGGAACCUCAUGCCCUUCACUGGGUGUGGCGGGGAAACAGGACUUUUACUUUGAAAAAAUUAGAGUGCUCCAGGCAGGCCUAUGCUCGAAUACAUUAGCAUGGAAUAAUAAAAUAGGACGUGUGGUUCUAUUUUGUUGGUUUCUAGGACCGCCGUAAUGAUUAAUAGGGACAGUCGGGGGCAUCAGUAUUCAAUUGUCAGAGGUGAAAUUCUUGGAUUUAUUGAAGACUAACUACUGCGAAAGCAUUUGCCAAGGAUGUUUUCAUUAAUCAGGAACGAAAGUUAGGGGAUCGAAGACGAUCAGAUACCGUCGUAGUCUUAACCAUAAACUAUGCCGACUAGGG